GAUCCUGGCUCAGAAUCAACGCUGGCGGCGUGCCUAACACAUGCAAGUCGAACGAGAAAAUUCGGGUGUAGCAAUACAUCCGGGUGAGUAAAGUGGCGAACGGGUGAGUAACACGUAGCUAACCUGCCCUCAAGCGGGGGAUAACCUGGGGAAACUCGGGCUAAUACCGCAUAACAUCCUGGUGGCACAAGCCGCCGGGACCAAAGGCCCGCAAGGGCCACUGGAGGAGGGGUCUGCGGCCGAUUAGCUAGUUGGCGGGGUAACGGCCCACCAAGGCGAUGAUCGGUAGCCGGCCUGAGAGGGCGCACGGCCACACUGGCACUGAAACACGGGCCAGACUCCUACGGGAGGCAGCAGUGGGGAAUUUUGCACAAUGCCCGAAAGGGUGAUGCAGCAACGCCGCGUGAGGGAUGAAGGCCUUCGGGUCGUAAACCUCUUUCGACCGGGAAAAAUGGUUCGCUGAAGAGGCGGGCCUGAUGGUACCGGUGGAAGAAGCCCCGGCUAACUACGUGCCAGCAGCCGCGGUAAUACGUAGGGGGCGAGCGUUGUUCGGAAUUACUGGGCGUAAAGGGAGCGUAGGCGGUGCGGUAAGUCUGGUGUGAAACCUCCAGGCUCAACUUGGAGCUUGCAUCAGAAACUYCCGUGCUAGAGUGCGGGAGAGGAGAGUGGAAUUCCUGGUGUAGCGGUGAAAUGCGUAGAUAUCAGGAGGAACACCGGUGGCGAAGGCGGCUCUCUGGACCGCAACUGACGCUGAGGCUCGAAAGCUAGGGGAGCAAACA
This 779-nucleotide ribosomal RNA is filed under the name uncultured Acidobacteriota bacterium. RNAcentral's name for it is "bacterial SSU rRNA". It matches the Rfam family "Bacterial small subunit ribosomal RNA", at positions 15 to 774 of the family's 1533-position model. Lineage: Bacteria; Pseudomonadati; Acidobacteriota. The record is from RNAcentral.